AAGUUACUCCACCUCUUCCCAUCUUCCCUCUCGGCAAAAAGACCAAGCGGGAAAGUCAUGUCGCAUCCCACCCAUUUCCCGGCCACUGAAGAGUCUGUUUUUCCGGCAGCAGAAUCGUAUGAUUGUCCCUGUUGUCCUUUCCGGACGCCAUUUACUCAUAAAAUUCUUUACCAUCUCAGAAAUCACUUGGAUGGAGCAGUCCACCAUGGAGAAUACCGUAUCUGCAAAUGCAGCCUCAAAUGCAGAGCCGUUUCUCAUUUCCACUGCCUCAACUGUGACAAAACCAUCAUAAGGAGAAGUCAAUUAAUUGCUCACUUAAAGACCUGUACUGUACAAUCAAUGUCUGUUCCCAAGAGCCCAGAAACAGCCCUUGUUGCUCAGAGCCCUGUAACAGCCCUUGUUGCUCAGAGCCCCGUAACAGCCCCCGUUGCUCAGAGCCCCGUAACAGCCCUUGUUGCACAGAGCUUUGUAACAGCCCCCGUUGCUCAGAGCCCCGUAUUAGCCCCCGUUGCUCAGAGCCCCGUAACAGCCCCCAUUGCUCAGAGCUUUGUAACA
Long non-coding RNA from Epinephelus moara (kelp grouper), 555 nucleotides. RefSeq lists it as uncharacterized. The record is from RefSeq and is a predicted model, not a curated record. The transcript is spliced from 3 exons. Lineage: Eukaryota; Metazoa; Chordata; Actinopteri; Perciformes; Serranidae.